This 453-nucleotide long non-coding RNA is filed under the name Numida meleagris (helmeted guineafowl). RNAcentral's name for it is "lncRNA (ENSNMEG00000009006.1)". Lineage: Eukaryota; Metazoa; Chordata; Aves; Galliformes; Numididae. The record is from RNAcentral.
GAAAAAAAGUGAAGGCGAUCCAACCAAACAGCCCUAUGUGUUGGACUCUUUUCAUGAUGCACGUCUGAAGCUCACAUGACUUGGAUAGUCCUGAUGUCUCAUACUGGGUAGCAGUUGAUGGCGCCAGAUGCUCCAUCAAAGAAAGAUAAUCGCAAACUGAAUCCUGCCAAGCUGUUGAUGUAUUAAACACUCUGUCUCAUCUGUAUUUGCUGAACUCUUUGGACCUUCCUGCCACAAUACUGCGAUUCCAUAGUGUGGAGAAGGGUGAAUCUCUUCUUUGUCAAAAGCAGAAGUAUUUUAUUCAAAAUACAUGGGAGUAUCUCCAGAAACUUUUCUUCAAAGUCAAACAGCAUGGUUAAUAGUCUGACAGAGUGUAUUCUUCCACUGCCGGUGGAGUAGAGCCAAACCCAAUGAGCUGUGCAAGAGGAAUACAGGAGCAGAGAGAGCUUGCUG